AGUGAAUAGAUACCCUGGUAGUCCAGGGUGUAAACGCUGCGGGCUUGGUGUUGGGGUCCUUUGAGGGCGCCCAGUGCCGGAGAGAAAGUUGUUAAGCCUGCUGCUUGGGGAGUACGUCCGCAAGGAUGAAACUUAAAGGAAUUGGCGGGGGAGCACCGCAACGGGAGGAGCGUGCGGUUCAAUUGGAUUCAACGCCGGACAACUCACCAGGAGCGACGGUUACAUGAAGGCCAGGCUGAUGACCUUGCCUGAUUUUCCGAGAGGUGGUGCAUGGCCGUCGUCAGUUCGUACCGUAAGGCGUUCUCUUAAGUGAGAUAACGAACGAGACCCUCACCGCUAAUUGCUAGUGUUCUCUCCGGAGGGCACGCACAUUAACGGGACCGCUGUCGCUAAGACAGAGGAAGGAGAGGUCAACGGUAGGUCCGUAUGCCCCGAAUCUCCUGGGCUACACGCGCGCUACAAAGGUUGGGACAAUGGCUCCGACAUCGAAAGGUGAAGGCAAUCUCGAAACCCAAUCGUAGUUCGGAUUGA
This 531-nucleotide ribosomal RNA is filed under the name uncultured bacterium. RNAcentral describes it as "bacterial SSU rRNA". It matches the Rfam family "Archaeal small subunit ribosomal RNA", at positions 725 to 1257 of the family's 1478-position model. The record is from RNAcentral.